Molecule: ribosomal RNA, 831 nt
Filed under: Lactiplantibacillus plantarum
Lineage: Bacteria; Bacillati; Bacillota; Bacilli; Lactobacillales; Lactobacillaceae
Description: bacterial SSU rRNA
Rfam family: Bacterial small subunit ribosomal RNA
Source: RNAcentral
CGACAGGGCGGGGUUCUAUACAUGCAGUCGAACGAACUCUGGUAUUGAUUGGUGCUUGCAUCAUGAUUUACAUUUGAGUGAGUGGCGAACUGGUGAGUAACACGUGGGAAACCUGCCCAGAAGCGGGGGAUAACACCUGGAAACAGAUGCUAAUACCGCAUAACAACUUGGACCGCAUGGUCCGAGCUUGAAAGAUGGCUUCGGCUAUCACUUUUGGAUGGUCCCGCGGCGUAUUAGCUAGAUGGUGGGGUAACGGCUCACCAUGGCAAUGAUACGUAGCCGACCUGAGAGGGUAAUCGGCCACAUUGGGACUGAGACACGGCCCAAACUCCUACGGGAGGCAGCAGUAGGGAAUCUUCCACAAUGGACGAAAGUCUGAUGGAGCAACGCCGCGUGAGUGAAGAAGGGUUUCGGCUCGUAAAACUCUGUUGUUAAAGAAGAACAUAUCUGAGAGUAACUGUUCAGGUAUUGACGGUAUUUAACCAGAAAGCCACGGCUAACUACGUGCCAGCAGCCGCGGUAAUACGUAGGUGGCAAGCGUUGUCCGGAUUUAUUGGGCGUAAAGCGAGCGCAGGCGGUUUUUUAAGUCUGAUGUGAAAGCCUUCGGCUCAACCGAAGAAGUGCAUCGGAAACUGGGAAACUUGAGUGCAGAAGAGGACAGUGGAACUCCAUGUGUAGCGGUGAAAUGCGUAGAUAUAUGGAAGAACACCAGUGGCGAAGGCGGGCUGUCUGAUCUGUAACUGACGCUGAGGCUCGAAAGUAUGGGUAGCAACAGGAUUAACAUACCCUGGUAUUCCAUACCGUAAAACGAUGGAAAGCUAAAUGUUGAAA